UACGUAGGGUGCAGGCGUUAAUCGGAAUUACUGGGCGUAAAGCGUGCGCAGGCGGUUUGCUAAGACAGGUGUGAAAUCCCCGGGCUUAACCUGGGAACUGCGCUUGUAACUGGCAAGCUGGAGUGUGGCAGAGGGGGGUGGAAUUCCACGUGUAGCAGUGAAAUGCGUAGAGAUGUGGAGGAAUACCGAUGGCGAAGGCAGCCCCCUGGGUCAAUACUGACGCUCAUGCACGAAAGCGUGGGGAGCAAACAGG
This 253-nucleotide ribosomal RNA is filed under the name uncultured bacterium. Its description in RNAcentral is "partial 16S ribosomal RNA". It matches the Rfam family "Bacterial small subunit ribosomal RNA", at positions 524 to 776 of the family's 1533-position model. The record is from RNAcentral.